GUGGUUCAGAGGUAGAAUUCUUGCCUUCCAUGCGGGAGACCUGGGUUCAAUUCCCGGC
Molecule: transfer RNA, 58 nt
Filed under: Loxodonta africana (African savanna elephant)
Lineage: Eukaryota; Metazoa; Chordata; Mammalia; Proboscidea; Elephantidae
Rfam family: tRNA
About the family: Transfer RNA (tRNA) molecules are approximately 80 nucleotides in length.
Source: Rfam by way of RNAcentral